CCUGGAUCCCGCCGUCACAUCCUGCCGGCAUGCCCCUGUCCCCCCACUGCUGCUAGCCACCGCGGCGCACACCAGAUUCGUCCGCCGCCAUGGACAGCCACCUGCUAGGCGAAUCACCAGCAUCUUCGUACUAGGAAAAAAACUCUAGCAGUGUUCAGUUAUUCUGAUUUCUUUCAGCAGUUCAAUGUAUGUUACACAAGAAGAAGAAACUAACAGUAGGUUGUAGAUGUUCUGUUUUGUGAUUUUCGUAGACUUGCAGCAAUUUAGAUGUUUGCAAGUCAAACAUAGUUCUCUUUGCUUCUGUUGAUUUUCUUGGCACAUCAGGAUUGUACUCUUUGGCAGGUCAAACAGAGUUCUCGUGGUAGGUCAAACAAAGAUGUCUGUGGAGCCGUCUCUGCUAGUCGACAUCCCCAUCUACCACACAUUAUGUUCCUGUUAUCGCCACAAAAACAUAGCACAACAAGACUAAAGUGCUAGUCGUCCACCUCCUCGAGCACCUCGUUGCUUCCUCUUUGCUUUUUGAGAAAUCUACACGAACCCUAUAUUGUGCCAUACUUCUACUAAAUUUAUUGUCCAUCGUGUUCCUGCAGCCUCUCACUCAUAUUCGUGUAUCUCAUUUCAUAGCUUGGAUUUUGUAACUUGUUAAGUUUAUUGUGCAUAACCUUUAGAAAGAUACCGAAAAAGGUGUGUUAUGGACCUAGUAACUCCUUCCCUUUUUCCAUUCAUGCAUGUUUUUUCUCUUCUACUACAUAUUCUGGUUCAGAAAGAUCAGUUGGUUAUUGUUUCUCUUCUACUACAUAUUCUAGUUCAGAAAGUUCGGCUUCACGCGGGCUGAAAGUUCAGCUGGUGGGGCACUGGCAACAUCGACGUUUCGCUAUGUGGUGUAGGCUAUGGCAGUAGCACCAUUUUCCUCUUAAUUGUACCUUUUACGUUUCUGCUACUGCUAACAGAGGAGAAUAAUGGCCAGCACCGAGCCACUGUUGCUACCGCUUGUGAUUGAUUGCACCACUUACCAGGAAGAAGACAAAACGAAAAAAAAA
This 1040-nucleotide long non-coding RNA is filed under the name Triticum aestivum (bread wheat). RNAcentral's name for it is "long non-coding RNA (TAES_LNC010324)". Lineage: Eukaryota; Viridiplantae; Streptophyta; Magnoliopsida; Poales; Poaceae. The record is from RNAcentral.